This is a long non-coding RNA of Leopardus geoffroyi (Geoffroy's cat), 176 nucleotides long. RefSeq lists it as uncharacterized. NCBI's taxonomy places the organism in Eukaryota, Metazoa, Chordata, Mammalia, Carnivora, Felidae. The record is from RefSeq and is a predicted model, not a curated record. The transcript is spliced from 3 exons.
AUAUUUAAAAGUUAUAUUUCAGUUUGGGAAGAUGAAAAAGUUGUGAAGAUGGAUGGUGGUGAUGGUUGCAUAACAAUUUGAAUAUACUUCAUGCCAGUGAACUGUACACUUAAAAGUGGUAAAUUUUAUCUGAUGAAUAUUUUACCAUAAUAAAUGAGCAAAACAUUUUUUUUCCA